RNAcentral lists this ribosomal RNA (815 nucleotides) under uncultured fungus. RNAcentral describes it as "SSU rRNA". It matches the Rfam family "Eukaryotic small subunit ribosomal RNA", at positions 564 to 1412 of the family's 1831-position model. The record is from RNAcentral. Lineage: Eukaryota; Fungi.
GUGCCAGCAGCCGCGGUAAUUCCAGCGUCCAAUAGCGUAUAUUAAAGUUGUUGUGGUUAAAAAGCUCGUAGUUGAACCUUGGGCCUGGCUGGCCGGUCCGCCUCACCGCGUGCACUGGUCCGGCCGGGCCUUUCCCUCUGUGGAACCCCAUACCCUUCACUGGGCGUGGCGGGGAAACAGGACAUUUACUUUGAAAAAAUUAGAGUGCUCCAGGCAGGCCUAUGCUCGAAUACAUUAGCAUGGAAUAAUAAAAUAGGACGCGCGGUUCUAUUUUGUUGGUUUAUAGGACCGCCGUAAUGAUUAAUAGGGACAGUCGGGGGCAUCAGUAUUCAACUGUCAGAGGUGAAAUUCUUGGAUCAGUUGAAGACUAACUACUGCGAAAGCUUUUUGCCAAGGAUGUUUUCAUUAAUCAGGAACGAAAGUUAGGGGAUCGAAGACGAUCAGAUACCGUCGUAGUCUUAACCAUAAACUAUGCCGACUAGGGAUCGGACGGUGUUAUUCAUGACCCGUUCGGCACCUUACGAGAAAUCAAAGUGCUUGGGCUCCAGGGGGGAGUAUGGUCGCAAGGCCGAAACUUAAAGAAAUUGACGGAAGGGCACCACCAGGGGUGAGCCUGCGGCUUAAUUUGACUCAACACGGGAAACUCACCAGGUCCAGACACAAUAAGGAUUGACAGAUUGAGAGCUCUUUCUUGAUUUUGUGGUGGUGGUGCAUGGCCGUUCUUAGUGUGGGGUGACUUGUCUGCUUAAUGCGAUACGACGAGGACCUUAACCUGCUAAUAGCCCGCAUUGCUCCGGCAGUGCGGCUGGCUUCUU